Long non-coding RNA from Egretta garzetta (little egret), 284 nucleotides. RefSeq lists it as uncharacterized. The transcript has 2 exons. The record is from RefSeq and is a predicted model, not a curated record. NCBI's taxonomy places the organism in Eukaryota, Metazoa, Chordata, Aves, Pelecaniformes, Ardeidae.
GUUCCAUUCUCCUCAUCUAUUUCUUCAAUCUCAGCUUCAUAACACCUGUAAAGAUAUCAUGGCUGUAAGCAUGGACAACACAUAAAUCAAACCAAGAUUAUUUUCUGAAGGUCAAAGGGACACAAGUACAAAGACUGGAAUCUGCUGUACUUGACCUUUAGCAUCAAGAAGCAAUGGCCUCACAGUUAUCCUAACUAAUGAUUAAUGCUGGGGCCAAUCUAAUCAGAUAUCCUGAUUUGGUUCUGGUAGGUCAUAGGAUUGGAGAAAAAAAAAAAAAAAAAAAA